AGUGAACGCUGGCGGUAGGCCUAACACAUGCAAGUCGAACGGCAGCACAGUAAGAGCUUGCUCUUACGGGUGGCGAGUGGCGGACGGGUGAGGAAUACAUCGGAAUCUACUUUUUCGUGGGGGAUAACGUAGGAAAACUUACGCUAAUACCGCAUACGACCUACGGGUGAAAGCAGGGGAUCUUCGGACCUUGCGCGAUUGAAUGAGCCGAUGUCGGAUUAGCUAGUUGGCGGGGUAAAGGCCCACCAAGGCGACGAUCCGUAGCUGGUCUGAGAGGAUGAUCAGCCACACUGGAACUGAGACACGGUCCAGACUCCUACGGGAGGCAGCAGUGGGGAAUAUUGGACAAUGGGCGCAAGCCUGAUCCAGCCAUACCGCGUGGGUGAAGAAGGCCUUCGGGUUGUAAAGCCCUUUUGUUGGGAAAGAAAAGCAGCAGGUUAAUACCCCGCUGUUCCGACGGUACCCAAAGAAUAAGCACCGGCUAACUUCGUG
Molecule: ribosomal RNA, 492 nt
Filed under: uncultured bacterium
Lineage: Bacteria
Description: partial 16S ribosomal RNA
Rfam family: Bacterial small subunit ribosomal RNA
Source: RNAcentral